RNAcentral lists this long non-coding RNA (3398 nucleotides) under Triticum aestivum (bread wheat). Its description in RNAcentral is "long non-coding RNA (TAES_LNC013047)". The record is from RNAcentral. Lineage: Eukaryota; Viridiplantae; Streptophyta; Magnoliopsida; Poales; Poaceae.
AUUAAGGAUUAUUGAGGCGAUAAGUACAUCCUUUUGCAAAAUAUUUUUUGGGAUUACAACUUAAUUGUUUGAAGUGUAUUGUUACCAUUUACACAACAAUGAAGAGAUGGUUUGAACAGUGGGCAAAAAGGGAUCUUCAGACAUCAAACAAGGUUUCUAAAUCGACCAAAACAAAAAUUCACAGACUAAGAUAACAUCAUCCAUUAGCUGUCAAAAACAUCUCAUCACUUCUCCUUUUUCUCCGCGGGGACAACCUUCUUCAUCCGGGCUCCCAGCUGGUGCUGGUUCAUCAACUCGACACGGAACUUCUUGCCGCCGUGAGUGAUGGGCAUCUAAUCGCCCUGGCCCCCUGGAUGGCUAUAGCAAGCUCCUCUGUUAGAAUUGAAUCACCAGGCUUGGAGCAAGAGAGGUGUAAACACGGAGAAAAACAAUACAAAGCUCACUAAUAAUAGGUUGAUGGUAUUUCUUAUACACAAACUCAAACUAAUGACUGCUAGAAUUCCACCAUUCUACCGAUGUUACAAGCACCUGAAGACAUUAUUAUUCCAAAUAACACCACCGUAACUGAAGCAACCAACAAACUAAACUCUAGAACAUCAAAGGACAACCAGAUUAAUCCUUCUCUGAAGCUCGCAUGAUAGAAAUGCCAACUUCUAACCUAGUUCAAAGAUACUGUAUAUAAUAGAUUGGCAUCGUUAUGUCUAAUAUGCAAUAAAUUAUGCAACAAAUAGAAUCCAAUAAAUCCAGUAAAUCUAAUUUUCAUGCUUAUAUGUAUAUUAGUUUUUUAGAUUUAAGAGGAGAAAUAUUUCAUGAACAUUUAAAGUCAUCAUGCUUUGAAUUAGACGACACAAGCAUUAGAACUGCAUUUGCUCGAUCCUUGAGUGAGACCUUUCUACUCCCAAGAAAAGAAAAAGAGAAGAAAAGUGUAAUCUGGAUGUGGCAUCAAUAGCAUAGCUAGAAAGUAUAUAUAGAUGCAGUUGUUCGAGACUGACUAACCAUUUUGCAUUGAAGUUUGCAAAUAAAUCAUUUUCAUAUUUGAACAAGGGGACUUGUAAACCUCAGGAACAGACGUUUCUUUAAGAUUUAACAAAUAGCAGCAGAAACUCUGCAUGAAAGAAACAAUUCUGAUGCACUGAGAUAACUCCAAUGUACUUGUUGAUAUGAAGGUGAUCGAGUAGAUAGACUGACACAGACAACAGUAAGCAUACCUCUUGUCAAUCUGCACUUCAGAGCCUAGUUACUUUUUGAGCCAAUAUAUGCAUCAACUCAGGAUCCUCCGCUGUAUAAACCUGGUAUCACGAAGAAAGGCAACAAUAAGCAUACCUCUUCUCAAUCUGCACUUCGGAGCCUAGAUUUUGUAUCAAUCUCAAUAUGAAAACUGAAGCAAUAUACAUUGGCAUACCAGGAAGAAAGGCAACAAUACCCAGCAACAAAUAGGCCAUACACCUGAGAGCUGUCAGCAUCCAUGUGACCUUGAAACUGCAUAAGGAAAUAUCAUAGCAAAAGUUUAAUAUUGUCUGAUAGGACACAACAGCCAUGUAUCUUUCUAAGAAAGUUGACAAUCAGCUUGUAAACAAAAUACCUUGGUAGUUGCAAAACAACCUUCGGUAUCAUCUUUGUAUCAUUAUGUAGCAAAGGUCCCUACUUUAUAUUAGCCUAACAAACCUGCCGAAGCUAUCUGCACAACUCCACAAAAAUCAGAAAAGAAUUAAGAGAAUUAGUAUUAAAAGGAGAUGAGCAGUAUGCCUACAAGGAUGAAAUAAUAGGAUGGAUUGACAUGAACUACACACGCAUUAGUACCUGCAGUUCAAUAUCCCAAUGCCCUUAAGAAUUUCUACUACUCCUGAUCUGGAAGUGUUCAACUUAACCAAAUAGAUUGUUACUUAUCUUUGGCUCUGAACAAUACUGACUUAUAAACAGUUAUAAGCAUCAAAUUUCAAAGAAUCACAGAUCAACAAGUUGCUGGCUGAUCUGUCGUACAUGUAUUUAUUUUUUCAACGGUAUGCUUGCCCUUGGGACAAAGCUUCGAAUUGGCUAGCAUAAAUAUGUAAUAGUCUAUGUGAAGCAAUAAACUGGGAAUUAGAAAAAAAAAUCAACUGAAAAUUAUGUCUUAUGAUUUGAUAUAGCUUAAAAAGGAUCCACUUUAUGAGUUGAAACAAAGCACGUGAAUGACAUAGUCACAAAGAUACGUCCGCCAACCUUCUUCCUCCCAGUAGACAUGGAAAUUAGUAGUCACCCAUCUAGGAUUAAGUAAAUAAAAAGAAAGAUGGAAAAGAGAGAGCACCUUUGAUGAACACAGACAACCAAGCAGCUUCCCCUUGUUCUCGUCUUGGCCGGCACUACACCUCUUCCCGGUCGGCAACCUGGAUGAGCGACAACCUGGCCGGCACUACGCCGGACGAUACAGCUACCCGCAGCUCACGCUGCUCAGGCCAACCGCACAUAGACCACAAACGCUGCACCACAUCCUGGGCCGCUGCCCCAACAUGUCGUCCAACAGUCCCGACUGGGGCGCAUUGACGGAGCUGACAACCUUGCUGCUUCCGCACUUCAAGGUCCUCACCCAAGCCAUGCCGACAAGCAGCCCUACCUCUUGGAGCUGUCGUCGCAGUACUGCCCGAGGCCGCAGCCUCGACACUUAAUAGAAGAUCCUGGAGCCGCAGCCCCGACAUACACCGCCCUUGAAAACGAAAGAGCCCCACAUGACAUCCAAAGGCUGGCCCUCCAAGGCUACACCUCUGAAGAUGGUUACGACGUAAACGCCGCCGCCACCCACUCCAGAAAACUGGAGUUUAGGUUCUCACCCGGAGAACCCAAGCACAUGAAAGGAUAGGAAGAUGUCUACGACUAUGCCUCUAAGAAGGUCACGGAGCUUUCGCCCGAGUCCCUGAUCUCCUAUCAGUGAGCUUGCUUGCAAAUCUGGUCACGCAACGAUACCCAGACCAUCAGAGCCAAGCACAUUGUGUAGGGCACCCCCCUGCCGUCAGCCGGCAUAGCCCUCACGCGACGACCAGCUGCAGCAACUCAUGCAACAUAGAAACAACGCGGUUGCCAGGGUCAGAUCUGAGUGCAUCGCUCCAAAUCCACCAUCCUGAGCCGGUGCAGCAGCCCCUGCCAUAGCAGCCAUCAGCCCGAGGCCGCUGCCCCAGCAUUCUCUGGCGCCGCAACCACCGGCUACCCCGCUGCAGAUCCACGAAACCAGGAGAACAACGUCAUCAAUCUGCAGAGUAGCACAGUCACACCUCCCGCCGCGAAGAAACGCACAACGCCCAUAUGUCCUCCCUCGCGCAUGCUAGGAGCCAGAUCCACGCCCACCUCGCACCUCCGCCACGGACCAACGCACCCAGCCGGCCGGAGCACCUCUACGCCUUACUUCGCCAGCGCACAUGCCAGAUCGG